AGGGGUUUAGGUUAAACAAAGACCAAGAGCCUUCAAAGCCCUAAGUAAGUGAAUCACUUAACCCCUG
RNAcentral lists this transfer RNA (67 nucleotides) under Galegeeska revoilii (Somali elephant shrew). RNAcentral's name for it is "tRNA-Trp". The record is from RNAcentral. Lineage: Eukaryota; Metazoa; Chordata; Mammalia; Macroscelidea; Macroscelididae.